This 424-nucleotide ribosomal RNA is filed under the name uncultured prokaryote. Its description in RNAcentral is "bacterial SSU rRNA". It matches the Rfam family "Bacterial small subunit ribosomal RNA", at positions 355 to 796 of the family's 1533-position model. The record is from RNAcentral.
UGGGGAAUCUUGGACAAUGGGGGCAACCCUGAUCCAGCCAUGCCGCGUGGGUGAAGACGGCCUUAGGGUUGUAAAGCCCUUUCAGUCGUGACGAUGAUGACGGUAGCGACAGAAGAAGCCCCGCCUAACUCCGUGCCUGCAGCCGCGGUAAUACGGAGGGGGCAAGCGUGGUUCGGACUUACUGGGCGUAAAGGGCGCGUAGGCGGACGGUCAAGUCAGAGGUGAAAGGCCCGGGCUCAUCCUGGGACGUGCCUUUGAAACUGAUUGUCUUGAGUGCGGAAGAGGGUGACGGAAUUCCCAGUGUAGAGGUGAAAUGCGUAGAUAUUGGGAAGAACACCGGUGGCGAAGGCGGUCACCUGGUCCGCAACUGACGCUGAGGCGCGAAAGCGUGGGGAGCAAACAGGAUUAGAUACCCCCGUAGUCC